RNAcentral lists this ribosomal RNA (741 nucleotides) under Triticum aestivum (bread wheat). RNAcentral describes it as "partial small subunit ribosomal RNA". The record is from RNAcentral. Lineage: Eukaryota; Viridiplantae; Streptophyta; Magnoliopsida; Poales; Poaceae.
AUGUCAUACCAGACCCUUGAGCUAACGUUGAUCUCGGCGAGCGAUCUCAAGAAGGUCACAUUCUUCUCCCGCAUGCACAUUUACGCCAUUGCCUCCAUCUCCGGUGGUGAUUCCCGCAUGCCUACCCAUGGCAUUGGCACCCAAGUCGACCACACCAAUGGUCCAAACCCCACAUGGAAUGCCAUGCUCCAUUUGCCGAUCCCUGCAUGUGUUGAUACGCGCGGGCUCGUCCUCCAUGUGUCGCUACGCUCGGAGGCGCUCUUCUUCGGCCACCAUGACGUUGGUGAAGUAUUUGUGCCCCUUAAUGAUCUUUUGGCAGGCACAAAUAACACUAAUGACCCAAAGACCAUGAGCUACCAAGUGCGGCGACCCAUGUCUGGCCGUGCCCACGGUGUUCUCUACUUCAGCUACAAGUUCACCGGCAUCAAAGCUGCUCCUGCAAGCGCUACAGAGAACAAACAAGGGCAGUACGUCAAAUACUCUGGGGACUCUGGGGUGGCAAUGCCCAGACCCAUGGUGCCCGUCACCGCAUACCCACAACCGCAUGCCACAUUUUCAUACCCACCAAACGCAGUGUAUCCACCACCGUACAUGUAUAAUACUGCUCCAGCACCGGCAAAGAUGUACUAUGUGUAUGCGCCAGCAACGACUAUGGCUGCACCGGCAAGGCAUGCGGGAGGGAUUGGAAUGGGCCUCGGCCUCGGGCUCCUCGGUGGCGCGGCCGGCGGGAUGAUGGCAUGA